CACGUAGGGGCCAAGCGUUGUCCGGAUUUAUUGGGCGUAAAGAGCUCGUAGGCGGUUGGGUAAGUCGGGUGUGAAAACUCCAGGCUCAACCUCGAGAUGUCGGCGGAAACCAUCUGGCUAGAGUCCGGAAGAGGAGAAUGGAAUUCCCGGUGUAGCGGUGAAAUGCGCAGAUAUCGGGAAGAACACCCGUGGCGAAGGCGGUUCUCUGGGACGGUACUGACGCUGAGACGCGAAAGCGUGGGGAGCGAACAGG
This 253-nucleotide ribosomal RNA is filed under the name uncultured bacterium. RNAcentral describes it as "partial 16S ribosomal RNA". It matches the Rfam family "Bacterial small subunit ribosomal RNA", at positions 524 to 776 of the family's 1533-position model. The record is from RNAcentral.